GGAGCCUGCGGUUUAAUCAGACUCAACGCCGGGAAACUCACCAGAUAAGACAGCUGAAUGAUAGUCGGGCUGAAGACUCUACUUGACUAGCUGAGAGGAGGUGCAUGGCCGUCGUCAGUUCGUACUGUGAAGCAUCCUGUUAAGUCAGGCAACGAGCGAGACCCACGCCAACAGUUGCCAGCUCGUCCUCCGGGAUGGUGGGGACACUGUUGGGACCGCCUCUGCUAAAGAGGAGGAAGGAAUGGGCAACGGUAGGUCAGCAUGCCCCGAAUUAUCUGGGCUACACGCGGGCUACAAUGGGUGGGACAAUGGGUAUCGACACCGAAAGGUGAAGGCAAUCUCCUAAACCCAUCCGUAGUUCGGAUUGUGGGCUGCAACUCGCCCACAUGAAGCUGGAAUCUGUAGUAAUCGUGUCUCAAAAUGGCACGGUGAAUAUGUCCCUGCUCCUU
RNAcentral lists this ribosomal RNA (449 nucleotides) under uncultured Methanomicrobiales archaeon. RNAcentral's name for it is "bacterial SSU rRNA". It matches the Rfam family "Archaeal small subunit ribosomal RNA", at positions 890 to 1338 of the family's 1478-position model. Lineage: Archaea; Methanobacteriati; Methanobacteriota; Methanomicrobia; Methanomicrobiales. The record is from RNAcentral.